UACAGAGGGGGCAAGCGUUGUUCGGAAUUACUGGGCGUAAAGGGCGCGUAGGCGGCCUGUUAAGUCGAACGUGAAAUCCCCGGGCUCAACCCGGGAACUGCGUCCGAUACUGGAGGGCUUGAGUGUGGGAGAGGGAUGCGGAAUUCCAGGUGUAGCGGUGAAAUGCGUAGAUAUCUGGAGGAACACCGGUGGCGAAGGCGGCAUCCUGGACCGAGAUCGACGCUGAGGCGCGAAAGCUAGGGGAGCAAACGGG
RNAcentral lists this ribosomal RNA (253 nucleotides) under uncultured bacterium. Its description in RNAcentral is "partial 16S ribosomal RNA". It matches the Rfam family "Bacterial small subunit ribosomal RNA", at positions 524 to 776 of the family's 1533-position model. The record is from RNAcentral.